AAUGCCCUCUAUUCUAAGCGCAAGAAGCAAGAGUUUUCUGAGGACAAAUCUCCCUCCGGAGGUGGGAGAGGAGAACAAGGACCCUCCUCAGUGACCCUCGUAAACCAUUUGGAUGUGAUGCUCUCCGUAUCUCUUGGCAAGUCAAGUCACGUGGCCCAUUCUAACAGCACGGCUAUCAGGGAGAAGCUCUGUAUGCUGAUGUGAUGCUUCCCACAUUUACAGACAGAAGACUGAGGCUCCAAAGCGUCUGGAAGAUGCUCACACAGCCCGGCAUGGCCUCCCUGUCUUCAGAGUCCUCGGAAGACCUUUGUGCCUCCCCUUCCUCUCACCCCUGGACACUCUGCAUGUCUAAAGCAUACUGAAUCUUUCCGGUGACUGCGUGGGUACAUGUGUGUUCAUGCGGCUGUGUGGGUGUCUUGCAUGCGUGUGUAUACACACGUGUUGUGAAAUACUACUUUAAGAUGUGUUACACUUGUCUGUGCUGUGGAAUAUUUGUUUAAUGGUGCAAAGAUGUAUUGUAUCCUUCCAUGUUUCAUUCUGUGAAGCUGUGUUACUGUGCCUGUCUAAUAAAGAGCUGAACGGCAAAUAGCAAGGCAGGAGAGAGGGGUAGGCGGGGCUGGUGAGCAGAGGGAAUAAGUACGAGGAGAAAUCUGGGAAGAGGGAGAUUGAGGAGUGAGAGAAGGAGGAGGGUUGAGCAGGGCAGCCACACAGCCAGACACGGAGUAAGAAGGAAAGAAAAUGUACACAGGAAUAAAGAAAGAUAAAAGCCCAGAGGCAAAAGACAGGUAGACUAGAUAAUUUAAGGAAAGACAGCUAGAACUAAGACAAACUAAGACUGGGCAUUCAUUAGUAAUAAUAAGCCUCCUUGUGUGAUUUACUUGGGAGCUGGGUGGCAGGGCCCUCAAAGAGCCAAAAGAAUGAAAGCAACCAACAAUGCAUGUGUGUGGAGAUCCCAGGUCAACCUCGGGAGUUGUUCUCAGGGGUCACCCACUGUGUUUUUUGAGACAACUCCUACCACAUUGGUCUAGAGCUCACUAAUUAAACUAGGGUGGCUGGGACUGUACUUACCAUGCCUGGAUUUCCUUUUCCUUUCUUCUUUUUUUUUUGCAGUGAUUCUAGGAGUUGAACUCAGGGCCUCACGCUUGCAAGGCGUGUACUUUGCCAACUAAACUGUCUCCCUAGCCCACGGAUCACUUCUGAGCCUGUUUCUGCCUUUGGCUGUGAUCUGUAGACCUGUGGUAAGAUGAGUGAUAUCUGCUAGCAGGCCAGCUGCAAGGGACAUGGGGAUGAUGGGUUGAAGACAUUGCCUAAGUAAGUCCUCUAGUGAGUAACCUAGAAAGGGCAAGAAGCUGAACUCUGAGCUGUGUAGGAUUUAUUUAUCCACCCCUAGGGUCAGUGCCAUUUUUUACUGCAUGCUGAUAAAUGCCUGGGCUAGAAAUUCUAGCUUCCCUCUCUUGGUAAUAAAAUGGAGACUCAAUUUCGAAAGGCCACAAAGAGAACGAAAUGGAAUAUUCCCCUCCACCCCUCAUCUGCAAUUUUGGUUUCCAAGACAGGGUCAUGACCUCUUCCUCAUCAAUGCUGAGGCUGCCUUACCCUCAAGACAGUAUCUCUUCCUGGGGCCAACUUCCCCUUGUGCCUGGGUUCCUGCUUUGGACUAUGCCACAGUGUCACUGUGUCCCCUCCAAAAUUCAUCUUGAGAUUUAAUUCCCACUGUAGAGGCAAUGAGAGAUGAGUGAUUUAGGAGGUGAGUGGUCCCCAGGGGCUGCCUGUACUAAUGGAUCUGUGGACUGUGGAAGGGCUUGUGGGGGAGGGGAGGCGGGGCCGGUGAAUUAGCCUCCUCUGCUCUUGCCACAGGGGACUUGGGAGCAAGGUGCUCUCUUGGACACAGAUGUCAGACAUUCAGCCUGCCUUGGUUGUGGAGUUCCCAGCCUCCAGAACGGUGAGAAAUAAAUGUCUAUUGCUUAUCAAUUACCCAGUGUCAUGAAUUUUUGAAGAAACAGCACAAAUGGGCGGAGGCAAACUAACAGUGGAUAACUAACUCAUCAGAAAAUGGACCACUUCCCGUGUUGAAACGCAACAGAGAAGUCCCCUCCCCACCGCACCACAACCCUCAGUUCCCUUCUUUGACUCAGCCCCGCUGCUUCCUCUUAGCUGACAGACACCCUGUCAGCGCCAUGUGUGCCCAGUUGUUCACUAUGGGCUAAAGAAUCAUUCCAGAAGAACUUUCUCAUCCUGGAAGUCCCUCUCCAGUUUCUCAGGUUAAUUCUCAUCUAGACUUCCCCUUGAACCAUUUCCCUUGUACAUUGUGGGAGGAAACAACAGGAGAUCAGCCUGAAAUCCUUUCUUCCUACUGUGACUGCCUUGGUAUCCAUUAAGAGACCUAACAGAGACAGAGCUGAAGACUGAUGACAACAAUUUCCAGAAAUGCUUCCUGUGGCUUAGAAGGAAAUCACUCAAAUUUAUGAUGUGAGC
Molecule: long non-coding RNA, 2472 nt
Organism: Mesocricetus auratus (golden hamster)
Lineage: Eukaryota; Metazoa; Chordata; Mammalia; Rodentia; Cricetidae
Exons: 4
Source: RefSeq, a predicted model, not a curated record